ACAUGUUCAAGUGAAAUUGUGUUGCCAAGUGAUAGUCAAUAAAAAACCUUCGUUUUUACCAGUUACUCUAGUGACUAAUCUCCAAAAAAUUAGGUUUACUCUGGCAAAGAAGCAGGAGCAUAUUAGGUAAUUAAAAAUCUAUUGUACCUUUUACCUUUUACAUUGGUUUGGUCAUAUCAUGUAUUUAGUUCUCAAUCUCAUCAAGCAAUUAAAAUUUGAACUCUGGUAUAUGGAUUUAUCGGAUCCAUUCUGUUUUUGAUGAUCUUGGGUCCAGAGCUCUUCCAACUUUCCUCAAUUCCACCAUGAAUGCUAUUGAGGGAAUCAUUGGAAUGGUUGGGCUUUCUUGAUCUAAGAAAAGGGUUAUCAAGAUACUUCACGAUGUCAAUGGAAUCAUAAAACCAUCCAGAUGGGUAGCUGUAUGUGCAGCUGUUGCUAUGGGUGAGGAAGGCGAUAUGGUUCUUUUGGUGACUGUUAAAGAGUUUGGGAUGUACGGGAAAUGGGAAAUGGGAGAUGAGAUAAAUUCUAGAGGUUCUGAUAUUGAAAUUUUGAUAUUGAGAUUCUGAUAUUGAAAUUUUGUUCCAGAGGUUUUGAAGCUUUGGA
This is a non-coding RNA of Camellia sinensis, 600 nucleotides long. NCBI's taxonomy places the organism in Eukaryota, Viridiplantae, Streptophyta, Magnoliopsida, Ericales, Theaceae. The record is from RefSeq and is a predicted model, not a curated record.